AUACUGGGAUAACUCCGGGAAACCGGGGCUAAUACCGGAUAACAUUUUGAACCGCAUGGUUCGAAAUUGAAAGGCGGCUUCCGCUGUCACUUAUGGAUGGACCCGCGUCGCAUUAACUAGUUGGUGAGGUAACGGCUCACCAAGGCAACUAUGCGUACCCAACCUGAGAGGGUGAUCGGCCACACUGGGACUGAGACACGGCCCAUACUCCUACGGGAGGCAGCAAUAGGGAAUCUUCCGCAAUGGACGAAAGUCUGACGGAGCAACGCCGCGUGAGUGAUGAAGGCUUUCGGGUCGUAAAACUCUGUUGAUAAGGAAGAACAAGUGCUAGUUGAAUAAGCUGGCACCUUGACGGUACCUAACCAGAAAGCCACGGCUAACUACGUGCCACCAGCCGCGGUAAUACGUAAGUGGCAAGCGUUAUCCGGAAUUAUUGGGCGUAAAGCGCGCGCAUGUGGUUUCUUAAGUCUGAUGUGAAAGCCCACGGCUCAACCGUGGAGGGUCAUUGGAAACUGGGAGACUUGAGUGCAGAAGAGGAAAGUGGAAUUCCAUGUGUAGCGGUGAAAUGCGUAGAGAUAUGGAGGAACACCAGUGGCGAAGGCUACUCUCUGGUCUGUAACUGACACUGAGGCGCGAAAGCGUGGGGAGCAAACAAGAUUAGAUACCCUGGUAGUCCACGCCAUAAACGAUGAGUGCUAAGUGUUAGAGGGUUUCCGCCCUUUAGUGCUGAAUUUAACGCAUUAAGCACUCCACCUGGGGAGUACGGCCGCAAGGCUGAAAUCAAAGGAAUUGACGGGGGCCCGCACAAGCGGUGGAGCAUGUGGUUUAAUUCGAAGCAACGCUAAGAACCUUACGAGGUCUUGACAUCCUCUGAAAACC
RNAcentral lists this ribosomal RNA (879 nucleotides) under Bacillus sp. (in: firmicutes). RNAcentral describes it as "bacterial SSU rRNA". It matches the Rfam family "Bacterial small subunit ribosomal RNA", at positions 135 to 999 of the family's 1533-position model. The record is from RNAcentral. Lineage: Bacteria; Bacillati; Bacillota; Bacilli; Caryophanales; Bacillaceae.